RNAcentral lists this ribosomal RNA (799 nucleotides) under uncultured bacterium. RNAcentral's name for it is "bacterial SSU rRNA". It matches the Rfam family "Bacterial small subunit ribosomal RNA", at positions 8 to 796 of the family's 1533-position model. The record is from RNAcentral.
AGAGUUUGAUCAUGGCUCAGAACGAACGCUGGCGGCGUGGAUAAGACAUGCAAGUCGAGCGCUUAUUCCCUGGUAGCAAUAUUAGGGAGUAGGAGCGGCGCAAGGGUGCGUAACACGUGGAUCAUCUGCCUGGAAGUUCGGAAUAAUUCGGCGAAAGCCGGACUAAUGCCGGAUGUGGUUGGAAGACUAAAGUUGGGGACCGCAAGGCCUGACGCUUCCAGAUGAGUCCGCGGCCUAUCAGCUAGUUGGCGGGGUAACGGCCCACCAAGGCUAAGACGGGUAGCUGGUCUGAGAGGACGACCAGCCACACUGGAACUGAGACACGGUCCAGACACCUACGGGUGGCAGCAGUCGAGAAUUUUUCUCAAUGGGCGAAAGCCUGAAGGAGCGACGCCGCGUGGGGGAUGAAGGGCUUCGGCCCGUAAACCCCUGUCAUUUGCGAACAAACGUUAUGGUUGAACAUUCCAUGACUUGAUUGUAGUGAAAGAGGAAGGGACGGCUAACUCUGUGCCAGCAGCCGCGGUAAUACAGAGGUCCCGAGCGUUGUUCGGAUUCACUGGGCGUAAAGGGUGCGCAGGUGGGUUUGCAAGUUUGAUGUGAAAGCCCCGGGCUUAACCCGGGAAUGGCAUUGAAUACUGCAGAUCUGGAGGAUUGGAGGGGGGACUGGAAUUCUUGGUGUAGCAGUGAAAUGCGUAGAUAUCAAGAGGAACACCAGUGGCGAAGGCGAGUCCCUGGACAAUACCCGACACUGAGGCACGAAAGCCAAGGGAGCAAACAGGAUUAGAUACCCUAGUAGUCC